This 253-nucleotide ribosomal RNA is filed under the name uncultured bacterium. Its description in RNAcentral is "partial 16S ribosomal RNA". It matches the Rfam family "Bacterial small subunit ribosomal RNA", at positions 524 to 776 of the family's 1533-position model. The record is from RNAcentral.
UACGUAGGGUGCAAGCGUUAAUCGGAAUUACUGGGCGUAAAGCGUGCGCAGGCGGUGAUGUAAGACAGAUGUGAAAUCCCCGGGCUCAACCUGGGAACGGCAUUGGAAACUGGCUUACUAGAGUGCGGUAGAGGGGUGUGGAAUUCCCGGUGUAGCAGUGAAAUGCGUAGAUAUCGGGAGGAACAUCUGUGGCGAAGGCGACACCCUGGACCAGCACUGACACUGAGGCACGAAAGCGUGGGGAGCAAACAGG